Molecule: ribosomal RNA, 253 nt
Filed under: uncultured bacterium
Lineage: Bacteria
Description: partial 16S ribosomal RNA
Rfam family: Bacterial small subunit ribosomal RNA
Source: RNAcentral
GACGAACCGUGCGAACGUUGUUCGGAAUCACUGGGCUUAAAGGGCGCGUAGGCGGGUCGGCAAGUCCGGGGUGAAAGCCCCCGGCUCAACUGGGGAAGUGCCGUGGAAACUGCCGGUCUCGAGGGAGGUAGGGGUAUGUGGAACUUUGGGUGGAGCGGUGAAAUGCGUUGAUAUCCGAAGGAACGCCGGUGGCGAAAGCGACGUGCUGGAUCUCUUCUGACGCUGAGGCGCGAAAGCUAGGGGAGCAAACGGG